RNAcentral lists this ribosomal RNA (434 nucleotides) under uncultured Clostridium sp. Its description in RNAcentral is "partial 16S ribosomal RNA". It matches the Rfam family "Bacterial small subunit ribosomal RNA", at positions 341 to 792 of the family's 1533-position model. Lineage: Bacteria; Bacillati; Bacillota; Clostridia; Eubacteriales; Clostridiaceae. The record is from RNAcentral.
ACGGGAGGCAGCAGUGGGGAAUAUUGGACAAUGGGCGCAAGCCUGAUCCAGCGACGCCGCGUGAGUGAAGAAGUAUUUCGGUAUGUAAAGCUCUAUCAGCAGGGAAGAUAAUGACGGUACCUGACUAAGAAGCCCCGGCUAACUACGUGCCAGCAGCCGCGGUAAUACGUAGGGGGCAAGCGUUAUCCGGAUUUACUGGGUGUAAAGGGAGCGUAGACGGAAGGCCAAGUCUGAUGUGAAAACCCAGGGCUCAACCCUGGGACUGCAUUGGAAACUGGUCAUCUAGAGUGCAGGAGGGGUAAGCGGAAUUCCUAGUGUAGCGGUGAAAUGCGUAGAUAUUAGGAGGAACACCAGUGGCGAAGGCGGCUUACUGGACUGUAACUGACGUUGAGGCUCGAAAGCGUGGGGAGCAAACAGGAUUAGAUACCCUGGUA